GAUUUCUGGCUUGGUUCGCCUAGCCCGCCACGGUAACGUGUGUGAGUGCUGGGUCGUGCCUGCCAUCUUUCCAGAGAACAUGCCUACCCUUAACUGGGCCGGGCAUGCGAUCUGGAUCUUUUACUUUGAAAAAAUUAGAGUGUUUAAAGCAGGCUUUUGCUAUGAAUACAUUAGCAUGGAAUAAUAAUCUAGGACUUCGGUUCUAUUUUGUUGGUUUCUAGGACUGAAGUAAUGAUUGAUAGGGAUAGUUGGGGGUGCUAGUAUUCAGCGGCCAGAGGUGAAAUUCUCGGAUUCGCUGAAGACUAACUUAUGCGAAAGCAUU
This 322-nucleotide ribosomal RNA is filed under the name uncultured Allapsidae. RNAcentral's name for it is "SSU rRNA". The stretch from base 107 to 322 matches the Rfam family "Eukaryotic small subunit ribosomal RNA", at positions 738 to 955 of the family's 1831-position model. Lineage: Eukaryota; Cercozoa; Glissomonadida; Viridiraptoridae. The record is from RNAcentral.